UGCGUAGACGGUUGCGUAAGUCGGAUGUGAAAUCCCCGGGCUCAACCUGGGAAUUGCAUUCAAGACUGCAUAGCUGGGGUGCGGAAGAGGGAAGCGGAAUUUCCGGUGUAGCGGUGAAAUGCGUAGAUAUCGGAAGGAACAUCAGUGGCGAAAGCGGCUUCCUGGUCCAGCACCGACGUUCAGGCACGAAAGCGUGGGGAGCAAACA
This 207-nucleotide ribosomal RNA is filed under the name uncultured bacterium. Its description in RNAcentral is "partial 16S ribosomal RNA". It matches the Rfam family "Bacterial small subunit ribosomal RNA", at positions 568 to 774 of the family's 1533-position model. The record is from RNAcentral.